Molecule: ribosomal RNA, 231 nt
Filed under: Triticum aestivum (bread wheat)
Lineage: Eukaryota; Viridiplantae; Streptophyta; Magnoliopsida; Poales; Poaceae
Description: partial small subunit ribosomal RNA
Source: RNAcentral
AUGGAUCUCAUGAGUUGGAACUGCCGGGGAGGGGGGAAUUCCCGGACAGUUCGCGAGCUAGCGACGCUUGUGCAGUCGCAUUCCCCCAGGAUGGUGUUUUUGUGUGAGAUAAGACAGAAAGAAGAUAAAAUGAGAAGGUUGAGAGGCCGGCUGGGCCUAGAAGGCUUUACUAGUGUGGACAGCAAUGGCCUCAGCGGGGCCUUGCUCUUUUUUGACAUGAAAGUCUGCUAG